This 451-nucleotide ribosomal RNA is filed under the name uncultured bacterium. RNAcentral describes it as "bacterial SSU rRNA". It matches the Rfam family "Bacterial small subunit ribosomal RNA", at positions 328 to 796 of the family's 1533-position model. The record is from RNAcentral.
CCUGGAGACUCCUACGGGAGGCAGCAGUGGGGAAUAUUGCACAAUGGGGGAAACCCUGAUGCAGCGACGCCGCGUGAGUGAAGAAGUACUUCGGUAUGUAAAGCUCUAUCAGCAGGGAAGAAAAUGACGGUACCUGAGUAAGAAGCCCCGGCUAACUACGUGCCAGCAGCCGCGGUAAUACGUAGGGGGCAAGCGUUAUCCGGAUUUACUGGGUGUAAAGGGAGCGCAGACGGUUGCGCAAGUCUGAAGUGAAAUCCCGAGGCUUAACCACGGGACUGCUUUGGAAACUGUGCGACUUGAGUAUCGGAGGGGCAGGCGGAAUUCCUAGUGUAGCGGUGAAAUGCGUAGAUAUUAGGAAGAACACCGGUGGCGAAGGCGGCCUGCUGGACGAAAACUGACGUUGAGGCUCGAAGGCGUGGGGAGCAAACAGGAUUAGAAACCCUUGUAGUCC